UCCAUAAAUUUGUUACACCACAAUCAUCCAAUUCUUGUAAUUUUGGGCUACAGAUUGAAUAAUUGCUAUCACCAUUUUAUUCUGGAUACAAAUACAAGAAAGAAGAAACACAAGAGAAACCAAUUCUUCACUCUCAUAACAUCGUAGUUCCCUCCUCAUGAAUGAACAAUUCCCUGAAGGGAAAGUCUAAAACGCAAAUUUUCUUGUGUCAAGCAAGUUUCACAGGAUACUUAUCUAUACAGUC
This 244-nucleotide unclassified non-coding RNA is filed under the name Hevea brasiliensis (rubber tree). The record is from RNAcentral. Lineage: Eukaryota; Viridiplantae; Streptophyta; Magnoliopsida; Malpighiales; Euphorbiaceae.